CAGCGUUACAUAGCAAAGGUAAAAUGGGAAAAGUGAGGAGAACAAGGCAAUUAUGAAGAAAAUACAGUAGGAUCCUUUUCCUAUAUCUAAGUCCGAAAAUGAAGAAAUGUUCCUCUUUUGUUCAGCCAACCAAGUGAAAAUUCCUGAGGGGAUUCACAUAUCAGAGGAGGUCACUCAUGGUUGUUCCCACGUCCAUCCCUCACUGUGUUUCCAUCUUUCAGCCAAAGAUUUCAGUCCUCCAAGUUCUGCUCAAGGCUAAGAACGAAUUGUGUGGAAACCACUGAAUAACAAACUAGUGGACAUUGGGUGGCUUCUUUGCUUCCCAGCAAUGGAAAGGAUGCAAUCCUAAAUAUUUGGAGAAAAAAGAGAACCCACCCCUUCACCCUGCAAGUACAAAUUCCAAAGAAGUUAAAAAAGAAAUUAGUUCAGUAAAAAAAUACCUCCUCAGUCUGACCACCUUUCACUUUCCUGGUCCCUUCAUUUUCUCAGUUGUUCAUAGAGCUUUCCUGAUUGUACAAGGCUUUGAUUUCCCUAGAAAAAGUGAGCAAAACCUUUUUGCCUCCCAUACGACUUUAAUAAUAAAUCUGUCAUACUCCGCCUGAUGCAUCAUAAAGAAAUGACAAAAAAAAAAUUACAACCCGUUCAGCAGAUAUUGGCAGCGCUGGCAUGAAUUCAUUUUGCCCAUGGGUGGACAACUGAGUAACAUAAAACCAGAGUUUAUAUAUGCUCCUGACAAUAGCUGAAGGCUCUCCUGGCACAGCCUGAAGGUUCAUGACCCAUAAAUAUUUCUCUCCUGGCAAUUGCAAUCUCAGCCUCCUGCUACAGCAGAACUUGUAAAAGCUGUAGACAGUCUAUUGCUCUCCUGGGACUUACAGGCUCCCCUUGCAGAUUUUAUGAGUAUCAGUCACAGGCAUUAUCUUGUAAGACUUACAGGUUACCAGCUGGUCUGGUGUGUAAAAGCGCUGGAGACAGUAAAUGCCAUGAAUUUUAACUAUUUCUGUUCAUGGGAUAGGCAAGAAAAUUAGAUUUUCAUCCUGUAGAACUCAAAGUUUCUGUUAACAGGGCAAAGAUCUGAUCUGACUGUCACCAGGCACAUCUAAAACCAGAUUUAGCAACCCAACAGUGGUUCUCACAGUGCUUCAGACCUCUUAGAGACGUUUCUGGGAGAGCCGACAGUGUUCUCAGGACUCUGGGAGGUGAUCAGACACGUGCUCCUGGCAAGACACGGCUUCCCUUAGUGGUACAGACACCAACACCCCAGGUUAAUGGAAGAAGACAAUGUAAAGAAAACCUGCCUUUUUUAUAGAUCAGUCCAUUUAUCUCAGAUUGGUUGGUAGAGCUUUUUAAACACCCAUCUGUUGGAAAGCGAACAAACCUGUCAAUAUGGGGAGCUUACUACUCCACAUUUUUGGUGUCUUUCCUUUUGGGUCUGUUCCUUGCAUUUGGUCUUGGCAGAUUGAGGCUGCAGAGACAUCUGUGACUUCAGUGUAUUUAUACAUAGGAAAUAAAAGUCUUUGAGCUCAAUUUCUCCAUAUGCCUCUUUCAGCUUUCUAUUAUUAGAAAGCAAACAUCUUGGAUGGGUUGCCAGCUAGCUAUAUGCAGGGCUGCCAAUUGUCCCUAUUUCAUAUUCUAGGUUGCAGAUAUUUUCAGGCUUGUCUUUUGGUAUCUUUAGAAUCUGCCUGGUGGAAAAAGAAACAAAAAAAAAGAAGAAAAAAGAAAAGAGAAAAAAAAAAGAAGAAAAAAGUCAUAAUUUCACUAUUGGCUUAUAAGAAUGAGUCAUUAAAUUUGAUAAAACACAUGGAGAGCAUUUGUCAGUAGAUCUCUGAUUCACCUCUUGUCCUAGCUCCUUUCAAGGGAAGACUAAGAACAUUUUCAUGCUCCUGACAUUAGAAAAUGUGGUUUCUUCCUAAGUUUGCCAGGAAAAUAAAUGAGAUGCUGGUGUGUCCCCCACCCUGCACCCCCAAAAGUAGUGUUCUGCCCCGUAUGCACAAAGAGGAAAAUGAGAGUUUGGGCAGGGGAAUCUGGCAUCUCGGAAGACUUUCACAAUUCAUACCUCCCGUUCGUAUCCAAACCCAGCCUGCUCCUCUAGCUCCCUCUCAGAAGAGAAGGCACCAUGUAGCCACAGGACCAACACUCCCCAAAAG
Long non-coding RNA from Grus americana (Whooping crane), 2144 nucleotides. RefSeq lists it as uncharacterized. The transcript is spliced from 3 exons. NCBI's taxonomy places the organism in Eukaryota, Metazoa, Chordata, Aves, Gruiformes, Gruidae. The record is from RefSeq and is a predicted model, not a curated record.